RNAcentral lists this ribosomal RNA (120 nucleotides) under uncultured bacterium. Its description in RNAcentral is "partial 16S ribosomal RNA". It matches the Rfam family "Bacterial small subunit ribosomal RNA", at positions 29 to 161 of the family's 1533-position model. The record is from RNAcentral.
AGCGAACGCUGGCGGCAGGCUUAACACAUGCAAGUCGAGCGCCCCGCAAGGGGAGCGGCAGACGGGUGAGUAACACGUGGGAACGUACCCUUUGGUUCGGAACAACCCAGGGAAACUUGG